AUUGAACGCUGGCGGCAUGCCUUACACAUGCAAGUCGAACGGCAGCACGGGAGCAAUCCUGGUGGCGAGUGGCGAACGGGUGAGUAAUAUAUCGGAACGUGCCCGGUCGUGGGGGAUAACGUAGCGAAAGCUACGCUAAUACCGCAUACGAUCUACGGAUGAAAGCGGGGGAUCGCAAGACCUCGCGCGAUUGGAGCGGCCGAUAAUCAGAUUAGGUAGUUGGUGAGGUAAAGGCUCACCAAGCCGACGAUCUGUAGCUGGUCUGAGAGGACGACCAGCCACACUGGGACUGAGACACGGCCCAGACUCCUACGGGAGGCAGCAGUGGGGAAUUUUGGACAAUGGGCGCAAGCCUGAUCCAGCAAUGCCGCGUGCAGGAUGAAGGCCU
This 388-nucleotide ribosomal RNA is filed under the name uncultured bacterium. RNAcentral describes it as "bacterial SSU rRNA". It matches the Rfam family "Bacterial small subunit ribosomal RNA", at positions 29 to 417 of the family's 1533-position model. The record is from RNAcentral.